UGGCGAACGGGUGAGUAACACGUGAGUAACCUGCCCUUGACUUUGGGAUAACUUCAGGAAACUGGGGCUAAUACCGGAUAGGAGCUCCUGCUGCAUGGUGGGGGUUGGGAAAGGUUUCGGCGGUUGGGGAUGGACUCGCGGCUUAUCAGCUUGUUGGUGGGGUAGUGGCUUACCAAGGCUUUGACUGGUAGCCGGCCUGAGAGGGUGACCGGCCACAUUGGGACUGAGAUACGGCCCAG
This 239-nucleotide ribosomal RNA is filed under the name uncultured Actinomycetales bacterium. RNAcentral's name for it is "partial 16S ribosomal RNA". It matches the Rfam family "Bacterial small subunit ribosomal RNA", at positions 96 to 334 of the family's 1533-position model. Lineage: Bacteria; Bacillati; Actinomycetota; Actinomycetes; Actinomycetales. The record is from RNAcentral.